RNAcentral lists this ribosomal RNA (634 nucleotides) under uncultured Hyphomicrobiales bacterium. RNAcentral describes it as "bacterial SSU rRNA". It matches the Rfam family "Bacterial small subunit ribosomal RNA", at positions 8 to 689 of the family's 1533-position model. Lineage: Bacteria; Pseudomonadati; Pseudomonadota; Alphaproteobacteria; Hyphomicrobiales. The record is from RNAcentral.
AGAGUUUGAUUCUGGCUCAGAACGAACGCUGGCGGCAGGCUUAACACAUGCAAGUCGAGCGCCCCGCAAGGGGAGCGGCAGACGGGUGAGUAACGCGUGGGAAUCUACCCUUUUCUACGGAAUAACGCAGGGAAACUUGUGCUAAUACCGUAUACGCCCUUCGGGGGAAAGAUUUAUCGGGAAAGGAUGAGCCCGCGUUGGAUUAGCUAGUUGGUGGGGUAAAGGCCUACCAAGGCGACGAUCCAUAGCUGGUCUGAGAGGAUGAUCAGCCACAUUGGGACUGAGACACGGCCCAAACUCCUACGGGAGGCAGCAGUGGGGAAUAUUGGACAAUGSGCGCAAGCCUGAUCCAGCCAUGCCGCGUGAGUGAUGAAGGCCCUAGGGUUGUAAAGCUCUUUCACCGGUGAAGAUAAUGACGGUAACCGGAGAAGAAGCCCCGGCUAACUUCGUGCCAGCAGCCGCGGUAAUACGAAGGGGGCUAGCGUUGUUCGGAAUUACUGGGCGUAAAGCGCACGUAGGCGGACAUUUAAGUCAGGGGUGAAAUCCCGGGGCUCAACCCCGGAACUGCCUUUGAUACUGGGUGUCUAGAGUAUGGAAGAGGUGAGUGGAAUUCCGAGUGUAGAGGGUGAAAUUC